AACGAACGCUGGCGGCAUGCCUAACACAUGCAAGUCGAACGAAACCUUCGGGUCUAGUGUCGCACGGGUUCGUAACCCGUGGGAACCUGCACUUAUGUUCGGCAUACCUCCCCGAAAGGGAUACUAAUACCGGAUCAUGUCUUCUACCCAAAGAUUUAUCGCCUUUGGAUGGGCCCGCGUUGGAUUAGCUAGUUGGUAGGGUAAAAGCCUACCAAGGCGACGAUCCAUAGCUGGUCUGAGAGGAUGAUCAGCCACACUGGGACUGAGACACGGCCCAGACUCCUACGGGAGGCAGCAGUGGGGAAUAUUGGACAAUGGGCGAAAGCCUGAUCCAGCAAUGCCGCGUGAGUGAUGAAGGCCUUAGGGUUGUAAAGCUCUUUUACCCGGGAUGAUAAUGACAGUACCGGGAGAAUAAGCGCCGGCUAACUCCGUG
RNAcentral lists this ribosomal RNA (433 nucleotides) under uncultured bacterium. RNAcentral describes it as "partial 16S ribosomal RNA". It matches the Rfam family "Bacterial small subunit ribosomal RNA", at positions 29 to 507 of the family's 1533-position model. The record is from RNAcentral.